AGGGUUUGAUUAUGGCUCAGGAUGAACGCUAGCUACAGGCCUAACACAUGCAAGUCGAGGGGCAGCAUGAUUGAAGCUUGCUUCAAUUGAUGGCGACCGGCGCACGGGUGAGUAACGCGUAUCCAACCUGCCCUUUACUCGGGGAUAGCCUUUCGAAAGAAAGAUUAAUACCCGAUGGUUUCGGGAUUCCGCAUGAGAUUCCGAAUAAAGAUUUAUUGGUAAAGGAUGGGGAUGCGUUCCAUUAGAUAGUAGGCGGGGUAACGGCCCACCUAGUCGACGAUGGAUAGGGGUUCUGAGAGGAAGGUCCCCCACAUUGGAACUGAGACACGGUCCAA
RNAcentral lists this ribosomal RNA (335 nucleotides) under uncultured bacterium. RNAcentral describes it as "bacterial SSU rRNA". It matches the Rfam family "Bacterial small subunit ribosomal RNA", at positions 8 to 334 of the family's 1533-position model. The record is from RNAcentral.